This is an RNA transcript of Malus domestica (apple), 1145 nucleotides long. It is a transcript of the gene named NAD-capped RNA hydrolase DXO1-like, with no coding region annotated. The record is from RefSeq and is a predicted model, not a curated record. NCBI's taxonomy places the organism in Eukaryota, Viridiplantae, Streptophyta, Magnoliopsida, Rosales, Rosaceae.
UUGCAGCGCAAGGGUUCGAACCCCCAUGCCUCCAACAUUUCAGAAACGUUUUUUAAUUUUUUUGAGAAAUCCCCUUUAAGUUAACCCUAGCAGCCACACCUUUUAUUCAUUCCCCUCUUCUCUCUCUCGUUCCCUUCCCUGCCUCCAGUGUAACCCUAACUAACCCAGUAACAUUCUCGCGCAGCCGAGCCUCCUCUCUGUCUUUCUCAAACUCUCUGUCUCUCUUGGUCUUGAAUCCCAGGCGACCCGCGACGGCGCGACCCUUCUCACUCUCAAUCUCUCACACCUCGCCCUCGCCGUGUGCUUCGGCGACCUCGAACAAGUGAAGGCGAUGAUCCUGAUCCAAGUGGAGCUCACCAACAUGGACCUCAAAUCCAUCUCCUCCAGGUCCUUGCCCGACCCGCAUACCCUCCGAAAGUCCUCUCACCUCAUCGGCCCCAAAGUCCUCCAGAUAGCUUGGGUGAGAGAUCCAGGAAGAGGCGAUGGACCGAUACAUAAUGUUGAUGCCAAUGUUGAAUACUGUUCUGUGAUCAAAACAAAAUUAGGGGCUCAUCGUAUUCUGAUGGGUGCUGAAAUGGAUUGCUGUGAUUCAACUGAUGAUGGAAGGAGGUUUUAUGUGGAAUUAAAGACAAGCCAUGAGUUGGACAACCAUAAGAUAGAGUACGAGUUUGAGAAAGAAAAGCUCCUCAAAUUUUGGGUACAUUACUGUUUUAAAGACAAGCCAUGAGAUAAAAGCUUAAGUUGGUGGAUAUGAAAAUAGUUCAAUUGGUGGAAGAUUGUUCAAGGACUCUCUAUUGACGAGUUCUCGAGGAAGAAGUUGGAUGCAACUGCAGAGGAGCUCAGUGAGGAGAAAGCUUUGGCAUACUCUUGCCUCUCUUAGAUGCUCUUGGCCUUUCCUUGGUGUGGUUGUAAGUUGGCCUCCCUGCAAUGUGUGAGAAAAGCAGCUGAAGUUUUGAAUAAUGCCAUUGUUAAGAUAUGUUAAUGAUGCAGAAGCUGCUUCUGUGGGUUUUACGGUUGUUGAGCCCAAUAUUCUAUUCGGACACUUCGACUUUUUUCUUCUUUUAGUUGCAUAUUUGAAUGGGAUUGUCCCAUUGACGUAAAAUAAUCCAUAUCUGCCUUGAUUCUAAUUUGUUAGUUCUUGUGCU